UGGUGGAGUGAUUUGUCUGGUUAAUUCCGUUAACGAACGAGACCUCGACCUGCUAAAUAGUUCAGCGAAUCCUAGAUUCGUCUGAUACUUCUUAGAGGGACUUUGUCCUUAUCGGACAAGGAAGUGCGAGGCAAUAACA
Molecule: ribosomal RNA, 139 nt
Filed under: uncultured eukaryote
Lineage: Eukaryota
Description: partial 18S ribosomal RNA
Rfam family: Eukaryotic small subunit ribosomal RNA
Source: RNAcentral